Long non-coding RNA from Lolium perenne, 3051 nucleotides. RefSeq lists it as uncharacterized. The record is from RefSeq and is a predicted model, not a curated record. NCBI's taxonomy places the organism in Eukaryota, Viridiplantae, Streptophyta, Magnoliopsida, Poales, Poaceae.
CGAAACUGCAGUUCUCCGCGCCGUCCGCCGCAGAUGGGGCUCCGCCGCGGUCGAAACACUGGUAGAAGUCGCGCCCGUUAGCCGUUAGCCAUCAGUUCAGAAACAUCGGCUAAUUGUCUCCCGUUCUCUGCAUCUGUCGUCGCCGCACCACCGCCACCUGCUACUCCGGUCGGCGAUGGCCACCUCCGUCACCGCCGCUCUUCCUCGCCGCCGACAACCUGUUCGGCUCCCGCGCGUAUCGUCAGGGCUAACCCUAGCCGCCAUGGCUCGGUUCACCGGAGCGGCUUCCCGGCUACCGAGGAGGAGGGUAACGAAUGAAGCGCCGAGAGUGGCCGUGCGCUGAGAACGUGGAUGCGGGAAUGUGGGCGUCGGUCCAUGGUAGGAGGAGCUCUGUGAUUGGCUCGUCGACCGCGGGGAGAUGGACGCAGCGGGGAUGGUGGAGAGAAUGAUGGGCUUCAUGGUGCGGGCGAGGCACUGAGGCUGGCCUCCUUCUUUGCCGGCGCGGCGGCUACUUCCUCUACAACUACAAGUUCGCCCACGACUCCGCGACCCUCCAGGGACGGAGCCAGCUUUCGACCUUGAGGGGGGCAAAAUAGUGUUGUAAACUUCAUGAGGGGGGCAGAGAGAUUCAACAAAGGAUGUGAUGGUAGAUGCUUUGCAGGACUUGAUGGUCAUGUGCCUUCAUUCACCUUCCAGCUCCCACUACCAAAUCCGGAGACCGACCAAUUCUUCUCCAAGAGAUCACAUACUCGCGCCAUCACUGGCAGCGAGCGCCGUGUCCUCCCCCGAACUCCUCUUCAACCUUCACACCGAUCAACAAUAGUGACAUCCCGGCCCUCGACGCCCCCACCGCCAUCAACAAUCCCUCUGGCAAGUUCAAAAUUGCUCGAACCCAAGUCCGUCGAUGGCUUAAUCAAUCUUGGAGAGCCGGGCCCCUUCUCUGCCCAGUCUCCGGCGAAACCGCACUGCAUCACGCCGGCAGGGAAGGCACGUGGAGGGCGAUGGAUGCGGAGCUCCCGGAGCUGCAGCGGCAGAUUGAGGUGGUGCAGAGCGCGCAGUCGAGGGUGCGGCUGUUGGAGUGGAGUUGCUGGAUACAUAAGCUUCAGGAGCGCAACCUCACCGACUUCGAGCUCCUCCACACGGACUCCGGCAAGCAUGCAUCACACCAGAAGACACAGUCUCCACCCUGAAGGAAUGGUUGAGUGAUUCAGCUAUAGGAAGCAGUCAUGUUCUGCGAUUGAUUGCUGAAAUAUAUUUGUGCAUGAUCAAGACUACAAUCAGGCUCUCAAGCGCGCAUACACGCACACUGGAGGAACUCUAGACCUAUCUCACAAAGCUGCGAUUGUCUUCUGGUAGAAUUACAGAUCUGGGUGUUUCUUACCUUAGAGGUAAACACUGACUAUAACAGGCCUCUUUCUAAUUACAGUUUGGUGCUUUAAUUUUGAGUGGCUGAAUGAUCCAAAGAUCAGUCCUUCCUUCUGGUGUUUUAUGAGUCUACUCAUGAUCUCCAUUUAACUGCUUGAGGUUAUUUGAGCUCUGCUCUUGGUGGUAUCAAAGUUAGUGCUGGAGCAGUGUAACAUACACCUUUGCGUAGCCAAGGACUACACGACGCGGAGUGGAAUUUAAUUGCUAGUAACUGCAUAUUAAGGACCAUAUGCAGAGACAUGUUACAGACCAAAAUGACCGUGCUCCAUCUGGUGUACUGUUUUUUUUAGAAUACGUUGUACUAUCAGUGUUUCUUUCCCUGCUAUUCUCUUUUUCUAGAUACAUUGUCUUUACUACGUCAACCCACACAUUAGAGUUUUUCAUCUUCUUCUGAUCAAUCUGCAUCGAUGCUACUUCACUAGGCUUCUGUGUUACAACAGGAUAAUGGUUCACACUCGGGGCCGGCUUGUGUGAUGCAUAGCUUUGUAUUGGCUCUCCUAUCUUCCUCUCAAUUUAUUUUUCGCGAAAACGCAAAAGCAUUGCGUUUCGAUGCAUUGAUAGAAGAGAAGGUUAUAUGUACAAGUCCCCGAGAGGACAACCACCCCACCUUACAACUCGACCCAAGAAAAGAAGGCUAAUCUAGGGGAGUAGCUGGCGGACACCCCGGGCUCCCGCGUCCGCCCAUUGCUGUGCCUCGGCCCUAAUGUCGUUGAACAGGGACGCCACCGAAGGUUGCGCGUUGUCAAAGACCGCAGCAUUCCGGUGUUUCCAAAUCCACCACGUUGUAAGCAUGAUUAUCGACGAAGUACCUUUGCGCAGCUGGCGAGGGGCGGUCCGCACCACCAGCGACCACCACUCCGCGAAGUCACCCUCAACCGUGGGAGGACCUGAGGUGGAUCGGAUCCACGAGAGGACCUCGUACCAGAUCGUCCUGGAGAAAGAGCACCCAGUGAGGAAAAAAACGUUGGCUGGUAUAAGCUUCUUCUGGCAAGUUUACUGAGAUCGGUCUCAAUUCUGUUGGUGAAGCUUUAACUGACGUGGCUAUCUUUCGUCAGAGCUCUUCCUCUACCGAUGAUGGUGCUUCUGAGGUCACUCCUUAUAUUAAUAGUAUGCAGAUGAUUUCAUAGUGGAUGUUUCCAACAUAAAUGACAAGGUCUACCAGAUAGUUGAAGAAGAGUAAACUGUUGGACCCUUUCAGUUGGAUAAUGACAUAAAUUAUCCUCUUCAUGAAGUCCAGAGAGGUACAACCUAUCUUGUUCAGCUCACCUUUAUGUUGACAGAGCUAUGUUUAGAGGCAGUUUCGAGAGUGCGGCAAAAAAUGGUUAGAGAAAGUUUGCAAAGUGCGGCAAAAAAAAGAACAUUUUUAGGGAAAUUUCCAAAGUGUGGCGAAAAAUGGGUAGCGGCACUUUGCAAAGUGCGGCAAUAAUUCUUAGCAACAUGAUUAUAUUUGACACUUUUUAAUUGCCUCUAAAAAUAAUUCUUUAGAAGUGCCCCAAAAUUGAAACUAUGAUGUAGUGGUGGUGCUAUAGCCCCACCUGGACAGCGUCAAUUACUGUCGAACAGUUAUUAGAAUCCGUAACCACUCUAUCGCAUCCCACAUGGUUUUGUAGCUCCAGCAUGGUCGUG